CAGGUUUACCUGUGUGACUGCGUACCUUUUGUAUAAUGGGUCAGCGACUUAUAUUCUGUAGCAAGGUUAACCGAAUAGGGGAGCCGAAGGGAAACCGAGUCUUAACCGGGCGUUAAGUUGCAGGGUAUAGACCCGAAACCCGGUGAUCUAGCCAUGGGCAGGUUGAAGGUUGGGUAACACUAACUGGAGGACCGAACCGACUAAUGUUGAAAAAUUAGCGGAUGACCUGUGGCUGGGGGUGAAAGGCCAAUCAAACCGGGAGAUAGCUGGUUCUCCCCGAAAGCUAUUUAGGUAGCGCCUCGUGAAUUCAUCUCCGGGGGUAGAGCACUGUUUCGGCUAGGGGGCCAUCCCGGCUUACCAACCCGAUGCAAACUGCGAAUACCGGAGAAUGUUAUCACGGGAGACACACGGCGGGUGCUAACGUCCGUCGUGAAGAGGGAAACAACCCAGACCGCCAGCUAAGGUCCCAAAGUCAUGGUUAAGUGGGAAACGAUGUGGGAAGGCCCAGACAGCCAGGAUGUUGGCUUAGAAGCAGCCAUCAUUUAAAGAAAGCGUAAUAGCUCACUGGUCGAGUCGGCCUGCGCGGAAGAUGUAACGGGGCUAAACCAUGCACCGAAGCUGCGGCAGCGACGCUUAUGCGUUGUUGGGUAGGGGAGCGUUCUGUAAGCCUGUGAAGGUGGCCUGUGAGGGUUGCUGGAGGUAUCAGAAGUGCGAAUGCUGACAUAAGUAACGAUAAAGCGGGUGAAAAGCCCGCUCGCCGGAAGACCAAGGGUUCCUGUCCAACGUUAAUCGGGGCAGGGUGAGUCGACCCCUAAGGCGAGGCCGA
This 826-nucleotide ribosomal RNA is filed under the name Salmonella enterica subsp. enterica serovar Hvittingfoss. RNAcentral's name for it is "partial 23S ribosomal RNA". It matches the Rfam family "Bacterial large subunit ribosomal RNA", at positions 580 to 1405 of the family's 2925-position model. Lineage: Bacteria; Pseudomonadati; Pseudomonadota; Gammaproteobacteria; Enterobacterales; Enterobacteriaceae. The record is from RNAcentral.